This 676-nucleotide long non-coding RNA is filed under the name Chrysolophus pictus (golden pheasant). RNAcentral's name for it is "lncRNA (ENSCPIG00010001013.1)". The record is from RNAcentral. Lineage: Eukaryota; Metazoa; Chordata; Aves; Galliformes; Phasianidae.
AAAAAGUACUUUGAAUUCCACUUCUACUUUGAGACUUUUACAUUUGCUCCCAUUUUCCAAGCCAUCAAUUUAAGGAUUGAUUCUAUUUGUUUUACUUAAAAUACCUCUCAGCCAGAACUCCAUGUGCACCACUCAGAGGAAAUAGUCCAAAUUGUAUCAGUUUAUCCUGGUAAAGAGGAUAUUAGAGAACUGCUGCUCAGCACAAACCCAGCACGCACUUUGCUGAGUGAUAGGCCUAUUCAAUCACAAAUGGGUAACAAAGCCUAGGGAAAGACCUUCGAUCUUGAGAUUAUCAGAUAUAGAGAUGACAUUGUAACAAGAAGUAUGAGGCAAAAUACUGGGAAGUAUGCACUAAGAUAGGAAAGAUAGACGGAAAGGCAGAUGGAAAGACAAAAAAUAUAGGCAAAGGGCAGAGAUAAGAUCGCAGAUUAUGUGAAUAUUGGCAUCUCUCCAAACUGAAUCAAUUAACCACAGAUUCCUAAUGUUCUUUUUGCUGUGCAGAAUCCCUGCUGCAGAGGAUAACACCAACCUGUCAUGUUCACUCCUCUUCCACCAAACUCUUCUGAGGCCAGUUCUUCUUGAGAGCUGUCUCAUUGAGCACACAGCAGAAAAACAAACGUACUGUUGCUGGCCCAGGCUGGAAAACACAGAGUGUCUAGUAAUGCUGGCGAAGUAG